ACUACUCCCCACCACCAGCACCCAAAGCUGGCGUUCUAAUUAAACUACUUCUUG
This 54-nucleotide transfer RNA is filed under the name Mus musculus musculus (eastern European house mouse). RNAcentral describes it as "partial transfer RNA-Pro". The record is from RNAcentral. Lineage: Eukaryota; Metazoa; Chordata; Mammalia; Rodentia; Muridae.